RNAcentral lists this ribosomal RNA (253 nucleotides) under uncultured bacterium. Its description in RNAcentral is "partial 16S ribosomal RNA". It matches the Rfam family "Bacterial small subunit ribosomal RNA", at positions 524 to 776 of the family's 1533-position model. The record is from RNAcentral.
UACAGAGGUCUCAAGCGUUGUUCGGAUUCACUGGGCGUAAAGGGUGCGUAGGCGGCCCGGUAAGUCGGGUGUGAAAUCUCGGGGCUUAACUCCGAAACUACAUUGGAUACUGCCGUGCUUGAGGACUGGAGAGGGGACUGGAAUUUACGGUGUAGCGGUGAAAUGCGUAGAUAUCGUAAGGAAGACCAGUGGCGAAGGCGGGUCCCUGGGCCGAUACUGACGCUGAGGAGCGAAAGCGUGGGGAGCGAACAGG